GGGUCCUUUAAAGACGUCCAGAAGAAUAUGACCAGCAGCAACAUGAGGCAGAAUCAGGAUAGACCAAUCAUCCAAAAGUGACAUGUGGCACCUGAUUAUUCAGCACUCCGUCCUUCUUCAGUGAAGGCCUGCGGGAAGCGAGACAUCUUCCUCAUCAUUCCCCUGUGGCCAGGUAAUUAUACUAAUCUACCUUCCUCCUGUGCUGGAGCUCCUGUGCCACACUGGCUCGGACCACCUCUGUGGCUUCAUUAUCAGAGGAGGGACUCACUAAUGGCUCCACGGCCUCGCUGUGCAGGCUGCUGGCAGAGAAAACAGGGGGAAAGGAAAAGAAGAAGAUGGAGGAGGAGGAGGAGGAAUAGAAGAAGAGAGAGAAAAGGGGAGAAAAAUGAGACGCUAAAAAGUCUGCCCUGAAGGUUAACAUCUCAAUCAUGAGGGACAAUAAUCGUGUGUCCAACAGCUUUGGCUCGGUAAAAGUCAUCAUUCAGAGAUGAGGAUGAGGCUCCAGAGCACCAUGGUGUCAAAGAGGAAGUAAGAAGAUCAACAUAAAUGAUCUCCUCAGGGCAAAAUGACCAUGAAAUGUGUGUGUUUGAGGUAACAGAUCGCCAUGUCCUCAUGUCCUCGUGCGUCCCUUACACACCCCCACCUUGCAUGUUUGAAACACUUAUAACCUCACAACAUACAGACGGACUGGGGGUGGGAAUCCUGUUUUUUUUCCCCCCCGACAAAUGACACCCUGACAGUUGGAAAAAUGUUGGGGUCCCUGAACAGAUUUCUCAGUUACAAAAAUAAAAUGUGUUGGAGUAGACAAAGACAGACAUUUUUACAUUCUACUUUUGAACCCCAAUGAGAGCACUGACAAAUGCCACCCCACCCCCUCUCCGUCUGUGCCAUGAUUGUUUUUUUCUCUCGAGAAAUGUCAUAUACUUAAGAGGUGAUAAUUCUAUAUGGCACAAACAGACACUGGCUUCUUCCAAGUGUACAUAGCAUAUAGGCUGACACAGAUUGAGAUGGUGCAACAUGUCUUUGCAUCACUCUAAAUAGCCAUGAUGGCUUCACUCAUACUUUAUGUACUCAGAGAGUCGAUGGAAAACUUUGUUUCGAAAUGGAUGAGGAACUCAAAGGCAAUGCUCUAGAAGUAAAAAUGAAUAAAUAUAAACAUAUAUAUAUAUUUAGAUGUUAAAUUUACUGCAGUGUAAGUGAUGUGUGAAAUAUAUAGAAAAUCUCCUGUUUCUGUGUAGGUGUAAAAGCCUACAUGCGGGAAACUGCAUCAAUAAACAGCAUACCAAACCCCCUGAGAGCUGGUGUUAACAUAUUCAGUUUGGAAAGAGCAACAGCCAACAGAUCAUAUGUUAAAUAAAUAUUUAAAAAAUGCUGAUUGACGCCAGUUUCAGUAAAUAUAUACUAUUACUAUAUUAUGAGCGUCACUCUCUAAAUUUUUACAUUCAAAUAUCCAACUGGAAUUAAGCAUACUUGUGUGUGUGCUUAAAAGGAUAAGUAGAAGAAUUCACCAAUUUUAAGGUUCAAAACUUGACGCACAACACAACUGUAAGUGUGUAAGUGCCACUACAGUGGAGUACUCUCAUUUUGUGAUGUAUUAUAAAUGUGUAGGUGGGUUUGCAUCAGUUAAAUGAGUAAACUUUUUUAUACACCUCCACACAGGCAUAUCCUCUUUUCCUGGAAGAAAACUAAACUGCACUUUUUCAGCCAGGCAGUUUUGUGAUAGAGAGCAAAUAAUCUGUGAGCAGACACACUAAGAAAGCUCUAAGCACUACAACAAUAGUCCCUUAGGCAGGACUACCAUGCCUAAUGAUUUUAUCUACCUAUGAGAAGGUAAUCAUACAUGUAUAUAUAAAUAGAGAGUCUCUUUUAGCAGCAAGUGACUUUGGAGUUAAAGGGUACGUUCAACAAAAAUCCAAUAAAGCCAGACUGUCCCUUGUCUUUAGAAACAGCUAGCAAUAGAGCCUCACCCCUAUUCAGAAAAUGUCCUUCAUGUAAAGCAGGUCAUCAUAAAGCCUUUCAUGGUGCGGUCUUUGGAUUACAAUGGAGGACAUUGUUUUAGAAAAAAAGACUGAUCUUUUGAUUUAUUAAAAUGUAAAUCAAAUUUCAUUCAAUUCUAUUGUUUGUGGAGGCAGAUGUUUUGGAUAUGAAUAUCUCAAAAUCUGGUUUGUGAAACCACAUGUCAUUGUAUUGCUACACAGCACUGGAGGCAAAUAAGAAAUAUGGUUAUGAAAUAAUUAAUACUGUGUUCUCAUGCAGAGACUGCUGUUUUGGCCGCUACUGGAAUUGAAAUAUUGCCUUAUAAUUGAACAUGAAAGUAUAUGUCAUUCUUUAAGAGUAGCAGAAGAGAGAUCUGGUGAUGGUAUAAUUCACAAUGAUAAAGUAUAAAUGUGUAAAGUGGUAUUAUUAGAUGAACCUUGCCUGUGUUAAAACAUUCUGUGUACACACUGCUGGGAAUGGUGCUGUGCAGCAUUUCCCUCAGUGCUGCUGAUGAAGGCUGAAAAAUUAACUAUAAAGAUCUAAUGAGAGAAAGUAAAAGCUUAUACUCAGAAUUACAUGAUGAAAUAAAUGUGCAAAUGACUCUACCAUGUACAGUGGGCUAUGUAAUGCAACAUGUGCACUCUAAUGUGUUGACCUAAAUUAUUGUACAGAUCAUAUUAUGCCGCAGUUCAACUGUGCAAAAUGUUACAAAAAUGCACUUUCAAAGAGUCACUAUUUACCAUGUAAUACAUAAGAUUGUUAGAAUUACUGUGUAUUAAAGUCAUGUUUUUACUAGAUUACAAUACAUCAAAUAUAGACAUUCUAAGCUUAGGCAACAUAAACAUCAUACUCAAUACAAACAAAUACUCAAUACAAAAAAUUGGACUUGAAUGGGAGCCAACUGUAAGUUAGUUCUGCCUUAAAAAAAUAUAUAUAAAAUGGUCAGAUUGGUGCUUUGAUGUUAUUGGCAAUUUUUAAAAUGAUACUUUAUGAUAGAAUAACUAAAACCUCAACAUGGCUAUGACAGUAAUUAUUGAAAAAGUUCCAGUUUAGGGUGCCUAUAUUUAGUGUGUAUAUAAACGGAUGAUUUGAGGUGACAGUCAAUAUGCACGCUAAGGGCUCAGGAGAAUAUUAAUACUCACUCCACCUAAACAUUGUUGUCAGACUCAGAUGGCACAUGCAGCUAUGAGAGGGGUAUAGCACUGUGUGGGGUUUGAUAAGCAUGCUUUAUUUUUUGUGACUGGGGUAAUGUGAUGAUAGUUGAUGCUAUAACUGUCUUUUUUUUUUUGCACAGGAUUCUGAAUCAGAAACGUGCUAGGCCUAUAAAUAAAUGGGUUACUGGGGUGGAAAGUAUUAGCUUCAAAUGUUUCUUUUUUCUCACCCUUUUAGUUUAAAAGAUGGUGAGCGGUACAGGGAACCUUUUUUUGCCCUUCAAGGUCAUAAGUCUGCUUGAGCAUUUCUCUCUGUCUUUGUGGUAGAUCACAACCUUUUGUUUAUCAUCUUGUGUCAUGCUCAUAACUAUGUGCCUUUUCUGCUUCAGGUCUUGUGCUGAGCAAUGCCACUAUAUAGCCUUGAAUACUGUGAGGUAAUGAAUGUAACACUUGCCAGUGUGUAAAGUGUACGCAGAGGAGGAUCCAGGCAGAGGAGGAUCCAGACAGAUGAAGGCAGAGGUGGGACCGUUUCUUCACAGGUCUUUCACAUGUAACAACCCAAAGCGUAGUCACUUCCUUAAACGGAUCAUGGAGAAAUGUAUAAAAAGAAAAAAAAAAAGAAAACCCUGCUCUUCUUCUGCAGCUUUGCUUUGACAAAACCAAAAUAGGCUCCAGCUAGUAGGACGAGUGUUCGUCACAAACAAGCAUCAGUAUAACAGAUGAAACAUGGGUUUUCUUCUCUUUAAAGGGCGCUGAAAUGUACACAAAUAGCACUCUUGCAAACUAGAGUUGGCAAAACACUGUCACUGAAAAUGUUUUGCAGUGUUUUGAUUAAUUGCAGUCUGUGUCUUUAUGUGUGCUUGUACAAAAAUAAGGUGUAGUUGCUAAAUUGCUGCUGACAUGUUGUGAAAAGUGUCUUUAGCUAGUGUACAGAUAUGAGCAACAAAGCCAAAAUAACUCAGAUGAUACUUUAUAUAUAUAGUGUAUGCAAUUUAAAAAAUAUAUAUUAAAUUACACUGAGUGUGAAAGUUUCCUCCAAAUCCUCUAAAACAAUGGUUACACAAAAAUAAUCUCGCUCUCGAAAGUACUUUUUUUUUGUCUUUUCCAUGAGCUUGAUGCCCUCUCAGCUUUUAUAUUUCACCACAUAGAAGGUUGUGCCUUAUUUCUUACGAUUUCUUGUAUUUUGAAGAAAAUUUCUUUCAACUGGACCCUGUUUGCUACUGAAUUUAAUGUAUGAAACUUGAGACACCUUGUUUUCUCUUUCUGAUGGCAGCUGCCCAAUUGUUUACAAUAUAUUAUAUCAUAGAAAUCCAACGUAUGAUACUGAAUGAAGAAUUGGGCAAGGUACAAAAUAUAUAUCAUUUACAGGUACCUUUAUUUAUCUAUAAUAUUGAAGUUUUAUUUAAAACUCUACUUUAUACUUUAACCUCCAUAGUCCAAUGGAAAUCAAACACUUUGUGUCAGAACAUUGUUUUUGAAGCUAUAGUUAGAUAUUAAUUACAUGUUAUUUAUUGUCUUGUGAAAAAGAUGAACAACAAAUAAGAUGGCAAAGUAAAAAUCAGAUCCACUUCAUUUAAAAACAUUAAAAUGAUUCUAACAUGUUGCAUCUGCAUCCACUAUAUGGAACGAUCAUAACACACGUCAUUUUUUCUGCAUAACGAGUACUUUUAUUUUCAAUACUUGGAGCAUAAUUUGCUGAAAAUACUUCUGGACUUGAUGUAAUAUAAAGUAAAAUAUUUUGACUUUGGUGCAUUUCAUCUUUUACCUUCAAUAAAGCCUGUGAAAACUUA
This is a non-coding RNA of Labrus bergylta (ballan wrasse), 4918 nucleotides long. Lineage: Eukaryota; Metazoa; Chordata; Actinopteri; Labriformes; Labridae. The record is from RefSeq and is a predicted model, not a curated record.